RNAcentral lists this ribosomal RNA (468 nucleotides) under uncultured bacterium. RNAcentral's name for it is "partial 16S ribosomal RNA". It matches the Rfam family "Bacterial small subunit ribosomal RNA", at positions 28 to 507 of the family's 1533-position model. The record is from RNAcentral.
GAUGAACGCUGGCGGCGUGCUUAACACAUGCAAGUCGAACGGAGAGGCGCUACAUUUGUAGUGUGCAAGAGUGGCGAACGGGUUUGUAACACGCGAGUAACCUGCGCUUGACUUUGGGAUAACUUCAGGAAACUGGGGCUAGUACCGGAUCGGAUCACGUGCUGAAUGGUGGGGGUUGGGACGUUUGGGCGGUUGGGGAUGGACUAGCGGCUUGUCCGCUUGGUGGUGGGGUAGUGGCUUACCAUGGCUGUGACGGGUAGCCGGCCUGAGCGGGUGACCGGCCACAUUGGGACUGAGAUGCGGCCCAGACUACAACGGUAGGCAGCAGUGGGGAAUAUAGCACAAGGAGCGGAAGCCUGAUGCAGCAACGCCGCGUGCGUGAUCACGGCCGGCGGGUUGUAAGCCGCGUUCGCCUGUGACGAACGGUGAGUGACGGUAACGGGCAAAGAAGCCCCGGCUAACUACGUG